This 253-nucleotide ribosomal RNA is filed under the name uncultured bacterium. RNAcentral describes it as "partial 16S ribosomal RNA". It matches the Rfam family "Bacterial small subunit ribosomal RNA", at positions 524 to 776 of the family's 1533-position model. The record is from RNAcentral.
UACGUAGGGGGCAAGCGUUGUCCGGAAUCAUUGGGCGUAAAGCGCGUGUAGGCGGUCCGGUAAGUCCGCUGUGAAAGUCCAGGGCUCAACCCUGGGAUGCCGGUGGAUACUGUCGAGCUAGAGGAUGGUAGAGGGGAGUGGAAUUCCCGGUGUAGUGGUGAAAUGCGUAGAUAUCGGGAGGAACACCAGUGGCGAAGGCGACUACCUGGCCUGUUCUUGACGCUGAGGCGCGAAAGCUAGGGGAGCAAACGGG